UCGCCUCCAUCUGGGAUCCGGGGCAUCUGAGUCCUGCAGGCUGCGUGGACUUUAUAACCAGCGCCCGCGGCAAUGCUGGUUGAAUUCCCGGGAUCGCGUCACCCAAUGGAGAUGAGAACUGCUAGCGCGUCAUCAGUGUCCGGGCAGAAGGACCUGACUCAGAUGAAGCCUCUGUAGCCCCAGAUGGCUAUGAGCUAGCUGAUGAGGUGAGAGACACGAAUGUCACAGCUGUGUGGGACACUGCAUCUGAUAACAGAGUUGGCCCCAGAGUUCCUCAGGCCUGUGCAGUGUGGACACUGGAGGAAAGAUGAUUCUCACGCAGAGAGUGCACGCUGGUGAGCCACAGGUAACUUAACUGGAAAGUGAGAGCAGAGAUGGGCGGGGACUCCUGCACAGUCACAUGUCACACACGGCAAUAAACGUCGGUGAGCACGGGUGUGAACUCCAGUCACUUCCUCAUGCAGGUGUUCACAGCCACCCCUCAGCCUCACCAGGACUCAGAGGCACCUGUUCCAUGAGGCCCUCCAGGGUCCCACCUGUGGAAGAUGAAAGAGAAGCAUCACGGUCUUGGGCAACAGCGCCGCCUGGUGGAAGAACAGAAGAGGACAGCGCCUGAGCCCACAGAGCUGAGGGUAAAGGGAUCCAGGCUGGCUGAGCUGCCCCAGGGCCUCCUUCCUGUCUGCACUUCUCCAGGGGUCUCAGGUCUCAUGCUGCCCUGCUCUCCUCAAACUUACACCCAGAAGAACUUCACAUGCUUCUCCACCCGUGGGAAGAAAACUCCCUGUGAGAGGGGAGGCAGGAGGCAGAGCCAUGAGUGCUAAAAGGAGCUGCAAAGCCCCAAACAGAGCAGCUCCAGAACGCUGACAGGGCCUGUGAUGUUGAUUCUAUGAUGUCGGCUACAUGUGGGAUGAACCAAAACCCCAAAAUGGAGGGCAACAUCUGAGAAGUGUUUUUGCUUAAUUUGAAGUGGGAAGAUCAGUUUCUGAUCCUGUUCUUUGAGGUAGGAAGCCACACCUGUAAUCCAGGGUAUUUGAGCAGGAGCCCCCCCCCCCUUCUAAUCUGGGCCACACCUUCUGCUGGAAGCCUACAGGAAGCCAUGGAAGAAGGGAAGGCUUGCUCUCUGUCUGCUUGCUCCUGCUCCUGCUCCUGCUGCAUCUUUAGCACCUAAAACAAAUGGGUGGGAGGAAGUGUAGUGUGACUUAUCUUGUGCACUUGGCACAUUAAAGAAUCCCCAGUUGAGUCUGUUCUUUCGUCCUUGGUGCUCAUAAUCCGGGGGUCACGACAAGGCUCUGACAUUCCCGUGUAAUUGUGAUCACAGAAUCUCAGCAUGUGCUUCAUAGUGAUGGAGGGAGCACAGCGCAGAAGUGACAGAGCUGCAACAGGCCGUCAGAAAUAGAAACUACCCAUGAUAUGUCACCCAUAUUCAGUCUCUCACAGGCUUGCCAGGUCCAUUAAAACAAGGAAAUGAAGAAAUUAACCAAUUAUUCAUAGGAAAUGUGUUAGACACCUCAGAUACUCAUGAAAAACAACAUGUUAACAGUUAAGGUGUAAAGAAAAAAUUUCUAUCACCUGGCAACAAGCCAAGGAAUUUAUAAAGAAAUGUCUUGUUUUUUGUAGAACCAAACUCCAGUACUCACUAGAAGAAAUGCUCAGGGCACCGAAAUAAAUAAAUAAAAAAUGAAAUCUGGCA
Long non-coding RNA from Apodemus sylvaticus (European woodmouse), 1690 nucleotides. RefSeq lists it as uncharacterized. Lineage: Eukaryota; Metazoa; Chordata; Mammalia; Rodentia; Muridae. The record is from RefSeq and is a predicted model, not a curated record. The transcript has 3 exons.